GACGAACGCUGGCGGCGUGCUUAACACAUGCAAGUCGAACGGAAAGGCCCUGCUUUUGUGGGGUGCUCGAGUGGCGAACGGGUGAGUAACACGUGAGUAACCUGCCCUUGACUUUGGGAUAACUUCAGGAAACUGGGGCUAAUACCGGAUAGGAGCUCCUGCUGCAUGGUGGGGGUUGGAAAGUUUCGGCGGUUGGGGAUGGACUCGCGGCUUAUCAGCUUGUUGGUGGGGUAGUGGCUUACCAAGGCUUUGACGGGUAGCCGGCCUGAGAGGGUGACCGGCCACAUUGGGACUGAGAUACGGCCCAGACUCCUACGGGAGGCAGCAGUGGGGAAUAUUGCACAGUGAGCGGAAGCCUGAUGCAGCAACGCCGCGUGCGGGAUGACGGCCUUCGGGUUGUAAACCGCUUUCGCCUGUGACGAAGCGUGAGUGACGGUAAUGGAUAAAGAAGCACCGGCUAACUACGUG
Molecule: ribosomal RNA, 468 nt
Filed under: uncultured bacterium
Lineage: Bacteria
Description: partial 16S ribosomal RNA
Rfam family: Bacterial small subunit ribosomal RNA
Source: RNAcentral